GGGUUGUGAGGUUAAGCGACUAAGCGUACACGGUGGAUGCCUGGCAGUCAGAGGCGAUGAAGGACGUGCUAAUCUGCGAUAAGCGUCGGUAAGGUGAUAUGAACCGUUAUAACCGGCGAUUUCCGAAUGGGGAAACCCAGUGCAAUUCGUUGCACUAUCGUUAAGU
This 166-nucleotide ribosomal RNA is filed under the name Klebsiella ornithinolytica. RNAcentral describes it as "Raoultella ornithinolytica partial 23S ribosomal RNA". It matches the Rfam family "Bacterial large subunit ribosomal RNA", at positions 1 to 159 of the family's 2925-position model. The record is from RNAcentral. Lineage: Bacteria; Pseudomonadati; Pseudomonadota; Gammaproteobacteria; Enterobacterales; Enterobacteriaceae.